UCCCCGUUUUCCGGGGCAGUCCCUGUAGAGUUCCCGGCAUAACCCGUUGGCAACUACAGGCGAGGGUUGCGCUCGUUGCGGGACUUAACCCAACAUCUCACGACACGAGCUGACGACAACCAUGCACCACCUGUGCACUGGCCCCGAAGGGCUGCCGUAUUUCUACGACAUUCCAGUGCAUGUCAAGCCUUGGUAAGGUUCUUCGCGUCGCGUCGAAUUAAACCACAUGCUCCACCGCUUGUGCGGGUUCCCGUCAAUUCCUUUGAGUUUCAGCCUUGCGGCCGUACUCCCCAGGCGGAGUGCUUAAUGCGUUAGCUGCAGCACUAAAGGGCGGAAACCCUCUAACACUUAGCACUCAUCGUUUACAGUGUGGACUAC
This 378-nucleotide unclassified non-coding RNA is filed under the name uncultured bacterium. RNAcentral describes it as "contains 16S-23S intergenic spacer region". The record is from RNAcentral.